Molecule: ribosomal RNA, 320 nt
Filed under: uncultured Actinomycetes bacterium
Lineage: Bacteria; Bacillati; Actinomycetota; Actinomycetes
Description: bacterial SSU rRNA
Rfam family: Bacterial small subunit ribosomal RNA
Source: RNAcentral
GACGAACGCUGGCGGCGUGCUUAACACAUGCAAGUCGAGCGGAAAGGCCACUUCGGUGGUACUCGAGCGGCGAACGGGUGAGUAACACGUGAGUAAUCUGCCCCUGGCUUUGGGAUAGCCACCGGAAACGGUGAUUAAUACCGGAUAUGACACUGGACUGCAUGGUUUGGUGUGGAAAGUUUUUCGGCCAGGGAUGUGCUCGCGGCCUAUCAGCUUGAUGGUGAGGUAAUGGCUCACCAUGGCUUCGACGGGUAGCCGGCCUGAGAGGGUGACCGGUCACACUGGGACUGAGACACGGCCCAGACUCCUACGGGAGGCAG